RNAcentral lists this ribosomal RNA (491 nucleotides) under uncultured bacterium. RNAcentral describes it as "bacterial SSU rRNA". It matches the Rfam family "Bacterial small subunit ribosomal RNA", at positions 40 to 507 of the family's 1533-position model. The record is from RNAcentral.
CGGCGUGCCUAACACAUGCAAGUCGUACGAGAAAGCCGGCUUCGGCUGGUGAGUAAAGUGGCGCACGGGUGAGUAACGCGUGGAUAAUCUGCCCUUAAGUGUGGAAUAACGUACCGAAAGGUGCGCUAAUACCGCAUAAUGCCUGGCAACACAAGUUGUCCGGCCAAAGAAGGCCUCUGUUUACAAGCUUUCGCUUCAGGAUGAGUCCGCGUACCAUUAGCUUGUUGGUGGGGUAAUGGCCUACCAAGGCUGCGAUGGUUAGCUGGUCUGAGAGGAUGAUCAGCCACACUGGAACUGAGACACGGUCCAGACUCCUACGGGAGGCAGCAGUGAGGAAUAUUGCGCAAUGGGGGCAACCCUGACGCAGCAACGCCGCGUGAGUGAGGAAGGUUUUCGGACUGUAAAGCUCUGUCGAGCGGGAAGAAGUGUACCAUGGCUAAUAUCCAUGAUAUUUGACGGUACCGCCAGAGGAAGCACCGGCUAACUCCGUG